This 377-nucleotide ribosomal RNA is filed under the name uncultured eukaryote. Its description in RNAcentral is "partial 18S ribosomal RNA". It matches the Rfam family "Eukaryotic small subunit ribosomal RNA", at positions 592 to 976 of the family's 1831-position model. The record is from RNAcentral.
CAAUAGCGUAUAUUUAAGUUGCUGCAGUUAAAAAGCUCGUAGUUGGAUUUCGGGUGGGAAUGGCCGGUCCGCCGUUUCGGUGUGCACUUGCUACGCCCACCUUGCUGCCGGGGACGGUCUCUUGAGUUCACGCUCGGGACACGGAGUCGGCGAGGUUACUUUGAGUAAAUUAGAGUGUUCAAAGCAGGCCUACGCUCUGAAUACAUUAGCAUGGAAUAACACGAUAGGACUCUGGCCUAUCUUGUUGGUCUGUAGGACCGGAGUAAUGAUUAAGAGGGACAGUCGGGGGCAUUCGUAUUUCAUUGUCAGAGGUGAAAUUCUUGGAUUUAUGAAAGACGAACUACUGCGAAAGCAUUUGCCAAGGAUGUUUUCAUUAA